Molecule: long non-coding RNA, 936 nt
Organism: Myotis myotis
Lineage: Eukaryota; Metazoa; Chordata; Mammalia; Chiroptera; Vespertilionidae
Exons: 3
Source: RefSeq, a predicted model, not a curated record
UGCUCAGGGCAGGGCAUGAGGCUCUGCUCCAUGGAGCUCCCUGCACCUGGGCGAGCAACCCUAGGGGGCCUGCUCCUGCCACAGCUGGAGCCAGAGCAUCGGCUUAAUAACUAGUGUGCUGGGCAGGCACUACUCACAGGGCCAUAUUUACUUUAUGGGCUGUGAGGCAGGCAGGGCAGCCCCUCCCGGGACCAGGGGAGGGGGACAGCGGCUCAGGGAGUGUGAGGAGCUGCUGGCUGCUGCCUUAAGGCCAGGCGGGCUGUGCAGUAGCCAUCUGUCCAGCAGCUCCCCAGUAACUUGAUGAGGACCUGACACCCCAGGGUGCAGCUCAGGGGAGCUGGGUAGGUGCCUACAGUGGAUGAUGAUGGUUCCUAACUGACCUUUUCCUCUUUUCUACUUUUUAGUGUCAAAUGGGAUGAGCACUUACAAUUAUUUGAAUCAAAGCCGCAGACAUAGCGCAGGUGCCUCAUCAAGGAACAAAAUUCCAUCAUUUCGUAAACAAAUCUUGCCAGAGUAACCAGAUCACAACCCGGGUUCAUCUGCACGGAGGUUCGGAGAUGGCUACAUCGUCACAAUGAAGAUCAAAUCUCCAAAGGACGACUUGCUUCCCGACCUGAACCCCGUGGAGCAGUUCUUCCAGGGGAACUUCCCGGGCAGCGUGCAGAGGGAGAGGCACCACAACAUGCUCCAGUUCCAGGUGCCCUCCUUCUCCCUGGCCAGGAUCUUCCGGCUGCUCAUCUCCCACAAGGACAGCCUGCUCAUCAAGGAGUACUCGGUCACACAGACCACUCUGGACCAGGCAAGUCCCCCGAGGGGAGCCGGGUGCAGAGCGGGGCUCUGCAAAGUCCCGACCGGACAGCCCAACCAGGGCUGGAAUCCCCACCACAGGGAGGCAGGACAUGCCUGAGCAUCUGUCCAUUAGGCUGAAACUCAGCC